UUACUUCUCUGACUCAACAUUUAGCCUUCUGUUUAGCUGACCAUGGCCUGCAGCUGAAUCUGUCUUUACUAGUGUUGGUCAUGUGUAAGCCAAAACACAGCCUGCAUGCUUAUACCAUAGUUGGCUUUGCAGUAAUAGAGCAAGUAUUGAAGACAGGGAAGCCUUGUAAUAUUUCUUUUUAGUUAUGACUUUAAUAGGAGGAAGGAGUUCAGCAUGUGCUAUUUUUUAUGUGGCUAGUCAUACAUCAAGAUUGUAAGAUCUUUGGAGCAGAUGUAUUUUGCGUAAUCCUUUCUACCUCAUUUUCUCCACAGAGCUUUGAUCUGUGAUUAGAUCUAUGUGUAUAAAUCUGUUUAUGUAGCAGUUAGUUACUCAUAGCAGAACCAAUUCUUGAGCCUAGUACAAAGCUAGAAAUGAGGCAAAUAGGGUAUUUGUAGUGCUUUGAGUGUACAAACCUUUAAUGCGUUCUUAAAUACAGAAAUUGGUGCCCAAGCUUAAUAGCUAUCACAUGCAAAAUAUGUUUACCCUGAUAUUUUGAAAUUACUACUUACAACAGGCCUCACGGGCUCCUUGUCCCCUUUGUGUGCAUGUGUUAUUCCCACUGUUGAUGAUGGGAAUUAGCUGUACACAUCAGGAGGAGGAUAUACCCCCUGGACUAGAACUUAGACAGUAGGGAGUAUGAAAUCCUCCAGCUAUUAGAUAGCAAGAACAGCACAGCUUCAGCAUUGCUCCCACUUGGCUUGUCACCUCUGCAUUUUGUAAUUCUGUGCUAAGGAAAUAGUAAUGGAAGUAGCAGCUGUGAAAUGUGAUGAUAGCACAGUGCUACCUUGAUAGAAAUUGCAGCUCAGAGCUGCGGACCAAGUGUGGCCCUUUAAGGACUUUGAAUGAUGGAAGUGAUCUGUUUCUUCAGGAAAAAGCAGCCAUCCAGGCUGACCCUAGUGUAAAGCUUAUGUCACUUGCUGCAUUAAUAAAUGGUUGUCCAGAGAGAGGAUUGCUUUCAUUUGUGUCCUUUAAAAUAUAUUUUCAAAUUUGCAUUCAGUUAUUUGUUUCAUCUAUUAGGCCAGAUCUCUUCUCAAGAUGUUCUGUUCUUUGAAUUGCCAUGGUUUAUUGUUUCUUUUCUAGUACUGUCUGGGUAGCUGUUACCUUCAGUCACAUGAGUGAAGUUUAUAUAUAUCAGAUAUGUCUGGAUAUAAACGGUGUUGGACUUGACAUUCUCAGUUUCUUCUAUGAAUUCCACAUCUAAGGGGCUACACAGCAGGUAACUCAUAACUGAUCUGAGAUAUGAUAGAGCCAGCCUGCUUUUUCAAAGCAUCCUAAGGACCAUUACCUCAUUUAAUCUUUCAUUUCUAUGACUUUUAAUAAAAGCCCAGAAGGUAAGAAGGAGAUGGACUAAAAUAAUCUGUUAAUUAAAAACAAGCAAACAAAAAAUAACCCCCCCAAAAAAUGAAAAGAAAGCACCAACUUUAGACUAUACAUUCUAUACAUAGAAUUGGCCAGGGCUUUUUCGUUACAGUAAGUCUGAAAUGUGAAAGUGUCUUAGGUGAAUCUGUUGGCAUAGCAACUUAGAUUGAGCAGAAGAGUGCCAUCAUAGUCAGAAAAUAGUGUAUGUUGUGAUACUGUUGCCUGCUACUGCCACUUCUCUGCAGACAGGGCCCUCUGGGGUUCACAUUAAACUCAUAAUGAUUCAGUUCAAGCUUCUAAGAACAUUUGGCCCCGGCAGCACAUACACUGUAGCUUGAUGUAGAUCUACCAACAGUCACUCCCAUAACAGCAGGAUGGCACCUAACCCUGUAGUUACCACGCUGAGAAGGGGCAGAAGGUCCAUUUUACCUCCAACAGAGUCAUAUGGUUUUUGCCUUCAUCAUCAACUGAUAGUUUAUUUGUUGCUUCUCUCAGGGUGGUUUGAAGGCUACAGAAGUUACUGGAUGGAAUACUAGGCUGUGCCUUGCUAUGUGGGAUAAAGGGAGUAGGAGUGUCUGUUCUCUGGGGGAGGAAAACAGAGGCACUACAGGUAGUGUAUGAAGCAUUUAUAUAUGGCAGCAUUGAGGAAAAACAGACUAUCAAAGCCUUACACUUUGUCAAUGAUAAUAACAGCAGAUGUUAUGAAUUAUAUAUUUUUAAUUGAAUAUUUUGCGCAUCAACAUUGAUGGAAAAUCUGUCAUUACUUUUAAGCCUUGUCUCUGAUGGAGAUCUGUUUGUAUCUAUCUAUGUACCCAUACCUGAGUAGUGCAACUCACUGCAGGUCAAAAAAUUACAACCUCCAAUGAUUGCAGUGGGAGAACUUAAUGGUUCUUCAUUUGCGUGUAUCUUCUACAGAGAAAUUCAGUGAGUGUUAGAGCACUGUGGAAACAAUCUUUGUGAUUGUUUGAGUUCUUCAGCACUGUAAUGACUGUGGCAUCUCCACCACUGACCGUCAGUAGUGCCUUCUGUCCAAAUUUACUUCUUUGUAUUUUUGGCAACUGCUCAUUUUUUUCUUAUUUAUAGUUGGGAUACAGUUGGAAUCCCUGUGAAUUUCUUCUGCAGAAAGAGGUAGACAAGAUUAUAUGUAAUGUGUAAGGUCAUUCAUGGGAUUAUCCUUCCUGAGUGCGCAGACCUAAACUGUGUUGACUAAUAAGAGAAAUAAUGACUUUGAAGUAGGACCAGAGAAAACGAUGCAGAGAGGGCUGGUUUCCCUCUUCCUGGGUUGAUGCAGUCUUGUGUUCCUAAGGCUGAAAGCCAGGGCUCACAGGGAUCUGAAGCUUUAAAUGCUGGUCUCAGGGAGAGGAGAAAAGGAAGUAGUCCAAGGAAUGCUGGCAAAAGCUGCCAGGAAUGCAGCAGGGAAGGCCCAUGAGCAGGAGUGCCUGUCUCUCCUAGCCAGAUAUCUGGAUUAGCUGUACUGAGGGGACUUUCCAGUCAUUGCUUGUGAGCCUUGUAGAGCUAAGGGAAAACAUGAAUGUUGUAAGACUCAUUAUACUGCUGCUUUGUGCUGCAGGGUUGACACAGCUAUUAAUUCAGUACUUUGAAUUCUGGAAGCCAAAGCACUUGUUUCAGAUCUCAAAAAGGUUAGCAUUUACAAGAUGCCACCUCCUUAUUUAAUCAAAGCUUCACAAGGAGACUCUGGAAGAAUAGAACUUUUCAGCUUGGCACACACAUCAAAAUUUUACAUAGCGAGUGAGGCAGGCACUCUUGACCAAAUGGAAACCAACCUCUGCUGGCACGUGAAAGCCUUGCAUUAUAAAACUCAGGUUCAUCAUAGAGAUGUUCUAUUCUCAUCUUUUAUAGGAAGAAUGUAACAGAUGAGGUUUUCUGAUACUCUGCUAGUCUGACAUCUGCAGGGGUCACUCUGCAUCUGCAAACCAAUGGAUGGAACCUCAGCUGAAGCCAGUGAAACCUCCCUACCUUGUGUUAGCAGGGCGUGGAGACGUUAGCAGUAUUAUUUCUUUUUCAGAUGCAGUCAGCUGGUGGGAGAUACCAAAGCCUGUAGUGGCUGCACUAAACACAAAGUCUUGUGAAAACUCUAAUGAUAUAAGCCCUGUGCAUGUUCAUAACUGUAAUAAUCAUUACUAAUAACUUGCUUUUGGAUCCUGUUACUCAGCAGUCUAAAAGUGUUAACUGCUACCUAAAUAUAGAUGAAAAAGUGACUCUGAAAGACUUUGUGUCUUUGUUUCAAUCUGUCUUAUGAAAAUGAAAGCUGGAACGCUGCAUGAGAAAAAUCUUGAAGUCUUUCACGGAUAAAACCUUUAGAUAUGA
This is a long non-coding RNA of Pezoporus flaviventris, 3726 nucleotides long. RefSeq lists it as uncharacterized. The transcript has 2 exons. NCBI's taxonomy places the organism in Eukaryota, Metazoa, Chordata, Aves, Psittaciformes, Psittacidae. The record is from RefSeq and is a predicted model, not a curated record.